This 301-nucleotide ribosomal RNA is filed under the name uncultured bacterium. RNAcentral describes it as "partial 16S ribosomal RNA". It matches the Rfam family "Bacterial small subunit ribosomal RNA", at positions 509 to 807 of the family's 1533-position model. The record is from RNAcentral.
CAGUAGCCGCGGGAAUACGAAGGGUGCAAGCGUUAAUCGGAAUUACUGGGCGUAAAGCGUGCGUAGGCGGUGAGUUAAGUCUGCUGUGAAAGCCCUGGGCUCAACCUGGGAAUUGCAGUGGAUACUGGGUCACUAGAGUGUGGUAGAGGAUAGUGGAAUUUCCGGUGUAGCAGUGAAAUGCGUAGAGAUCGGAAGGAACAUCUGUGGCGAAGGCGACUAUCUGGGCCAACACUGACACUGAGGCACGAAAGCGUGGGGAGCAAACAGGAUUAGAUACCCCGGUAGUCCCUGUCUCUUAUAC